RNAcentral lists this ribosomal RNA (228 nucleotides) under uncultured bacterium. RNAcentral's name for it is "partial 16S ribosomal RNA". It matches the Rfam family "Bacterial small subunit ribosomal RNA", at positions 15 to 237 of the family's 1533-position model. The record is from RNAcentral.
GAUCAUGGCUCAGGAUGAACGCUAGCGACAGGCUUAACACAUGCAAGUCGAGGGGCAGCACAGGUAGCAAUACCGGGUGGCGACCGGCGCACGGGUGAGUAACGCGUAUGCAACUUACCUAUCAGAGGGGAUAACCCGGCGAAAGUCGGACUAAUACCGCAUGAAGCAGGGGGCCCCCGCAUGGGGGAUAUUUGCUAAAGAUUCAUCGCUGAUAGAUAGGCAUGCGUU